CCUACGGGGAGCAGCAGUGGGGGAUAUUGCACAAUGGGGGAAACCCUGAUGCAGCGACGCCGCGUGGGCGAAGAAGUAUUUCGGUAUGUAAAGCCCUAUCAGCAGGGACGAAGAAAUGACGGUUCCUGAGUAAGAAGCACCGGCUAAAUACGUGCCAGCAGCCGCGGUAAUACGUAGGGUGCAAGCGUUAUCCGGAUUUACUGGGUGUAAAGGGAGCGCAGGCGGCACGGCCAGACUGAUGUGAAAGCCCCCGGCCCAACCGGGGGACUGCAUUUGGAACUGCCGGGCUGGAGUACCGGAGAGGAAGGCGGAAUUCCUAGUGUAGCGGUGAAAGGCGUAGAUAUUAGGAGGAACACCAGUGGCGAAGGCGGCCUACUGGACGGUGACUGACGCUGAGGCGCGAAAGCGUGGGGAGCAAACAGGAUUAGAUACCCUUGUAGUC
Molecule: ribosomal RNA, 442 nt
Filed under: uncultured bacterium
Lineage: Bacteria
Description: partial 16S ribosomal RNA
Rfam family: Bacterial small subunit ribosomal RNA
Source: RNAcentral